UGCUGGAGGUAUCAGAAGUGCGAAUGCUGACAUAAGUAACGAUAAAGCGGGUGAAAAGCCCGCUCGCCGGAAGACCAAGGGUUCCUGUCCAACGUUAAUCGGGGCAGGGUGAGUCGACCCCUAAGGCGAGGCCGAAAGGCGUAGUCGAUGGGAAACAGGUUAAUAUUCCUGUACUUGGUGUUACUGCGAAGGGGGGACGGAGAAGGCUAUGUUAGCCGGGCGACGGUUGUCCCGGUUUAAGCAUGUAGGCUGAUUGUCCAGGCAAAUCCGGAUAAUCAAGGCUGAGGUGUGAUGACGAGGCACUACGGUGCUGAAGUAACAAAUGCCCUGCUUCCAGGAAAAGCCUCUAAGCAUCAGGUAACAUCAAAUCGUACCCCAAACCGACACAGGUGGUCAGGUAGAGAAUACCAAGGCGCUUGAGAGAACUCGGGUGAAGGAACUAGGCAAAAUGGUGCCGUAACUUCGGGAGAAGGCACGCUGGUGUGUAGGUGAAGCCCCUGCGGGUGGAGCUGAGACCAGUCGAAGAUACCAGCUGGCUGCAACUGUUUAUUAAAAACACAGCACUGUGCAAACACGAAAGUGGACGUAUACGGUGUGACGCCUGCCCGGUGCCGGAAGGUUAAUUGAUGGGGUUAUCCGUAAGGAGAAGCUCUUGAUCGAAGCCCCGGUAAACGGCGGCCGUAACUAUAACGGUCCUAAGGUAGCGAAAUUCCUUGUCGGGUAAGUUCCGACCUGCACGAAUGGCGUAAUGAUGGCCAGGCUGUCUCCACCCGAGACUCAGUGAAAUUGAACUCGCUGUGAAGAUGCAGUGUACCCGCGGCAAGACGGAAAGACCCCGUGAACCUUUACUAUAGCUUGACACUGAACAUUGAGCCUUGAUGUGUAGGAUAGGUGGGAGGCUUUGAAGCGUGGACGCCAGUCUGCGUGGAGCCAACCUUGAAAUACCACCCUUUAAUGUUUGAUGUUCUAACGUUGGCCCCUGACCGGGGUUGCGGACAGUGUCUGGUGGGUAGUUUGACUGGGGCGGUCUCCUCCCAAAGCGUAACGGAGGAGCACGAAGGUUAGCUAAUCCUGGUCGGACAUCAGGAGGUUAGUGCAAUGGCAUAAGCUAGCUUGACUGCGAGCGUGACGGCGCGAGCAGGUGCGAAAGCAGGUCAUAGUGAUCCGGUGGUUCUGAAUGGAAGGGCCAUCGCUCAACGGAUAAAAGGUACUCCGGGGAUAACAGGCUGAUACCGCCCAAGAGUUCAUAUCGACGGCGGUGUUUGGCACCUCGAUGUCGGCUCAUCACAUCCUGGGGCUGAAGUAGGUCCCAAGGGUAUGGCUGUUCGCCAUUUAAAGUGGUACGCGAGCUGGGUUUAGAACGUCGUGAGACAGUUCGGUCCCUAUCUGCCGUGGGCGCUGGAGAAUUGAGGGGGGCUGCUCCUAGUACGAGAGGACCGGAGUGGACGCAUCACUGGUGUUCGGGUUGUCAUGCCAAUGGCACUGCCCGGUAGCUAAAUGCGGAAGAGAUAAGUGCUGAAAGCAUCUAAGCACGAAACUUGCCCCGAGAUGAGUUCUCCCUGAGACUUUAAGUCUCCUGAAGGAACGUUGAAGACGACGACGUUGAUAGGCCGGGUGUGUAAGCGCAGCGAUGCGUUGAGCUAACCGGUACUAAUGAACCGUGAGGCUUAACCUU
This 1675-nucleotide ribosomal RNA is filed under the name Klebsiella pneumoniae. RNAcentral describes it as "bacterial LSU rRNA". It matches the Rfam family "Bacterial large subunit ribosomal RNA", at positions 1271 to 2925 of the family's 2925-position model. The record is from RNAcentral. Lineage: Bacteria; Pseudomonadati; Pseudomonadota; Gammaproteobacteria; Enterobacterales; Enterobacteriaceae.